GCAGUUUCCUUGCAUCUAUAAACACACUAUUCAAGGACUCCACAACGUUACUAGUAUCUAGAUUGUACCUCUCUGCUGGAAAAUAGCACUUGGCCCAUUUUGAUACUUCUACACGCCUCUGUAUACUGCUUUGCGCACUACAUGAAUGUAUCUGCAACUAUUUUUUAUCCCUUGAAACUUGCAUUUUGACAUUCUGUGAAAGAUGCCAGGUGCAAUACCCAU
Molecule: long non-coding RNA, 222 nt
Filed under: Eutrema salsugineum
Lineage: Eukaryota; Viridiplantae; Streptophyta; Magnoliopsida; Brassicales; Brassicaceae
Description: long non-coding RNA (ESAL_LNC000712)
Source: RNAcentral